Molecule: ribosomal RNA, 212 nt
Filed under: uncultured Methanosarcina sp.
Lineage: Archaea; Methanobacteriati; Methanobacteriota; Methanomicrobia; Methanosarcinales; Methanosarcinaceae
Description: partial 16S ribosomal RNA
Rfam family: Archaeal small subunit ribosomal RNA
Source: RNAcentral
GGCGCGACCGUGUCUGGUGCCGCAGGGAAGCCGUGAAGCGAGCCACCUGGGAAGUACGGCCGCAAGGCUGAAACUUAAAGGAAUUGGCGGGGGAGCACAACAACGGGUGGAGCCUGCGGUUUAAUUGGACUCAACGCCGGACAACUCACCGGGAACGACAGCAAUAUGUAGGCCAGGCUGAAGACCUUGCCUGAAUCGCUGAGAGGUGCAUG